Molecule: long non-coding RNA, 6335 nt
Filed under: Sorghum bicolor (sorghum)
Lineage: Eukaryota; Viridiplantae; Streptophyta; Magnoliopsida; Poales; Poaceae
Description: long non-coding RNA (SBIC_LNC016874)
Source: RNAcentral
CCACCGCCGGAGGCUCUGUAGCCGGCCAGCACCCCCUCUUCCCUCCUGGGAUUGAUCCAGAGCCGUUCGAUCUAAAACCAACGCGCCAGAUUAGAACUUACCCCUUCGGGGUGAUUUUAUUAAAGAGCCCCUGACGUUUUUAUAUAUGAAACCCGCGGUCCAAAACGUACAGCAUCAAAUACGCUUUCUGAGUUGGAAGACGUAAAGUCUGCCGGCUUGUUUCCAAAUUACGUUUUCAGUAUUUACAGUUUUGCCACCAGAUUUAAAUUGCUUAUAACAUGCUCAUCUUAAAUCCGUUUUGGUCCAUUCAAAUUGCGUUAGGUUCGUAAUUAUGAGCUUUACAUGUUAGUAACAUUAUUUUCUCAGUUUGAAAUCUUUUAAUUUCGUGAUCCUACUUAAUUAAUUACCUUCCUAUAUAAAAUCUUAGAAAAUUCAUAACUUCACCGUUUUAAUUCCGAUUUUCGUGAUCUUUACGUCUAUGAAAUCGUAGCGAUGCGCAGAAUCAUUUUAUAAACUUUUCAUACUGUUUUUAUAUGAUUGGUGUACUGUUCUAAUAGUAGACUUGUUUGCUUCGUGUAUGUUUUCUCCGAUUGUUUGUGUGAUCGAUGAUCGAGUUUAGACGGGGAGCCGUUUCGGUGAUCAAGAUCAAAGCUUUGGCAACAAGUGAGACCAGCAGAACCAAAAGGAUUAGCAAGAUCAUUGGAUCGAGGCAAGUAUAGCAUUUGGAUUAUAUUUCUGUGACCCGUGAUCCUGUGACUAGAUUAAUGUUAAGUAAUAAAUGAUAAAAAUGACUUUUUAGCCACUUGAUGAUUUAUCUGUAAGUGAUAACCGGGACAACAGUGCAACCAUGAGGGCUAUAAUGGCUCUGGCUUUAGUUAAGUAUGAGUAACUUUUCUAGCUCGUUAGCGGUUACCCGUUGUGGCGCAGUUGGGGAAUAGCAGACCGUGGAUUCCUGCGGGUGAAUCACACGGACUGACUAAUGAAACCAAGCGGCCCUAACUUGUUAGACGAACCUUUGAAAGACUUCAUAGUGAUCCCUGCCGACCUCCCUAGGAAGGGGGUUAAGAGACUAGCUACCUCGGGCGAAAGGGUAAAUCAUGACUCAUGGGUAAAGAUGUGCAACCUCUGCAGAGGGUUAAAAACUAGUAUACUAGCCGAGCUCACGGUCAGGAGCGGCCUUGGGGAUUCUUGCGGCGGUGAUGAUGAUUCUUGUGUGUUAAAUAUGCCCAUUAUUUAUUAUUUAAUGCUCUACAUUAUUUAUGUCACAUUGAUCAUGAGAUUGUGGGAGCUAUAUAAUCUAGUUGCUAUACUUGUGGAGUUCGACAUGGACUCACUCUUGCUAUUUCCCCCAAACCUCAGGAGAAGUUUAGGCUUGUGAUCAACCAGUCAGUUGGAUCCUGUAGAGUGGAGUUAAUACCCGAAGUUGGAGUUAUCUAUCCGCUGUUUGCUUUUAAAGGUUAUCUCUUUUAUACUAAGUACGUUAUAUAUUUAUGCAUUGUCUUUUGAUAUUACCCCUUAUUUGUAGCUAUAUAUGAGAAUUGACUCCUAAAACUCAUAUAUAGUGUAUAUCUGGUUUUGUCCUUAAAAUCGGGUAUUACAAAGUGGUAUCAAAGCAAUGCUGACUGUAGGACGCAAGCCUAGUUAGAACUGGACGUUUUGGCAUGCUUCUAUCUUUGCUUACUUCUUGCUUUUCGCCUUGACCUUGAUAGUUGCUAAAAGUUAUGCUUACCUCUUGCCUAGUUCUUUUAUAAAAUCUUGUCUCUAUUCUAAAUCCUCUCUCUUUGUCUCUUUAGAUGGAUCAUAACGAGGAGACCUUUGACAAGAAGGAACGAAAGCACCCAGAUUUUCCAACCGUAAAAGCAUUCGACAUGGAGAAGCUUCUAGCCAUGCAAACACAAGUAGUGGAAGGAAUAACUCAGAAUAAGAACUCUCAACAACGUAUCUCAGGACCCGUGAGGAGACAAGUAGCAGAAGCUUGGAAAAAUAUGAGAAAUCAUGGAAGCGUUGGGAGUAAUACAUCAGGAUAUCAGGAUCAAUGCCACUGUUGUGAGCAUUAUGGUCUUCCUUGUCUUCGGAAUAUGUCAUCUAAGAAGGAAGUUAAGACAAAACCAACCUGUGUGACUAAUGAGGAUAAGAAGAGGAAGGCAAAAGCACUAGAGCCGAGAUUGGGAAGUGAUCAACACCCAAAUCCCAAGAUGUCACAUGUAGCUUCAAAUUCUCGUCAGGAAAACUCAAACCUUGGAGAUGAACAGAUUCCCCAAGCUAAUCCCACUGCUCAUGAGGUAUGCAUAGAUGGGUGGACAAUUACUUAUAGAGAGUUUCAACCUCGGAGGAUCAAGCAAUGUAGAAAGAAAUCUAACCAGACAAAGAUAAACCAUCAGAGUAUGCAAGUUGAUAACACACCGAACAACACUUCAGUGGAAAAUAACAUCACAGAGGAACCAGCUAAGAGAAGGUGUUAUCACUGUCAACAAGAAGGACAUUAUAUAAGCUCUUGUCCACAAAAGAAGCAACAGAUGCAUCGUGAAGAUAACCACACUAAGUCUAAGAUAUAGGUGUCCGUGUCCCCUGGUGUAAUAAAAACGCUAGUAGCGAAAGUUGAGUUUGUAUGACUUGUGAACCUUUAAUGCUUAAUUGCUUGUUAUUAUGUUUAUGUUUGAUUUGGAUCUUUGUAAUGAGUGUAAUGAUUUUGUGAAGUUCUUCACAAUUUCAUUUAGUUUAUAGCACUAAGGCAUACGGAAUAAUGGCAUAAGUAGUUGGGUUUGGUUAUAUCCUGUUUCUGUCUUUUGCUGAUUUCUGGAGCAGUCUGCAAUAAUCAUAGUGUAUAUCAAGAUCUGAUCGUGCAAAUUUUACUAAACUUUUCUGGAAACAACUAGACUCCAAGAUCUUUCUCUGACCACAAGAAUCACCCUCAUAGCUGUUAUGGUUUGGAAGUUACAAAAAUCACAACAGGAUACAACUGUGCUGUCAAGAACCUGGACCAGUUUCGGUUGCUUACUGUUUUAGACAUAUAUAACUAUAGAAUUUGGAAGAGUAUUCUAUAGAAAAGUUGUAGACAAUUUUCUAUUCUUUCCAACGGUAUAAGCUGGAACUUAUUUGGAUAAGUAGAACCUGAGAUAUGAUAUUUACAAUUGGAUAUUUCUGUUCUGUUUCAAAAUCUGGAUAGAUCUGGCAAUUCCUAUUCUCAGCCAAGCUUAAAGACAGAAUCUGGGGAAAAGUUGUAUACGAAAGUUGUAAAGGAUUUCAUAAGCUUUUCAACAAUGUAAGGAUCAUCUCCAUAUGAGUUAAGUAGCUCGAGGUAUAAUUUCUGGAAUUUACUGCAUCCUUGCUGAGAUAUUAUCAGGAAGGAUAUUAUGUUUGGCUGUUUUACCUGAGCCUAAAUACAGAACCUAAGGACGUCUUCUACAGGAAAGUUGUAGGGAAUUUCAUAAUCUUUCUAACGGUAUAAGCUACAACUCUAUUGGAUUAACAGAAUGGGAGUUAUACCUGUUUUUCUAUGCUGGUGUUUUUCAUAUCGCGGGAAAAUUUCAGGAUACAUGUUUGUUCUCUUGCACAGAAGCUCUUUGGGAUGUCAUAAGUUCUCAAUGUUAGUUAACUUGUCUGGAAAAUAUGCAAGCUACCUUUCUUUUGUCCCCUAGUUGACUUUUCUUAAGGGGGUAGCCUAGUUAAAGAAGUUACAACGAGAAGGAUUGACUAGUGUUGGAUCAUACGGGAGUAUCACAAACGCUGGGUAAAUUUGUUUUGGUUCAAGAAUAUCAUCUCAUUUAGAGAAUAUCAAUGGAGGUAUAUGUCAUUGCUGAUACUCAUGGAUUAAGAGUUGUGUAUGAGGAUCAGAUGACACCAAAGGCUACAAAGUUACAUAUACAAUAUGAGAGUGAAACAACUUAAUUGCGAUAAAGGUACCAAUAGAUGGAACUUAGUGUUGAAACCAACCCUGGAUUAAGAGACUUGGUACAAGGAAUUUAAAAGACUAUGAUGUGUAGCGUCUAAAAAGGACAGGAGAACUAGUCCCUAGUGUCCCCCAAUCAACCUCGUCUUAAGGGGGGUAGUACCUUGAUAUCACGAGUGAUGCAUUUUAAGACUAGCUUGGAGUGAUAAUUGUCUUCUAAGAUAUUCUAUGGUUAUGAUCAUCUAUCCUUGCCGUGUUACUGACGUUGGUCACUUGAUGACAGGGAGUGUAGUGUUCCAUGAAUCCGGAGCACAAUAUGACACCUCUCAUGGAUAGGUGGGAAGAAUAUGAUCAUCUUGAUUUUGAAGAAAGAUGCUAUGAGUAUGACAAAGCUGAGUGUUAUCAAAAUAACAAUAUGGAAGAGCAAGUUGACAACGAAUCAAAUCAAAAUCCACAACGACGGAAGCGUAAAAGGAAAGCUCGUAAGAAGCCUGCUCUCGGAAAUAAAGUACAGCGAAAUUAUAUCAAUGGAAGACUGAACAAUGUGGAUAUGCAUAACAUUCAAGGAGCCACCAAAGUGGUGGGAGGCUAUAUUCAAGUGGACUCAGUACUAGUUUUUGCUCUGUUUGACCGAAGUGCUUCACAUUCUUUUAUUUCCGCUGACUUGGUAAAGACAAUCGAACGGAUGAAGUGUCCGACGAGAAAGCCUUUGUUAGUUCAAACCCCAAUGGGAGAAAUACAGGCAGAUCAGGUUUGCUCCAAUAUCAAUCUUGUCAUAAAGAAGGAAAACUUCACUGUAAACCUCAUUGUGCUAGAGUCACUCAAUAUUCCUUUGGUUCUUGGCAAUGGAUGGUUAUGUGCACACAGGGCAGUGAUCUAUGCUACCCAGUGGAAAAUAUUCUUAACUGCACCAUCAGGGAAAAGAAUUGAGUAUCAAGGUGGUCCACUCCUACCUGAGGAGGCAUAUCCAUGCCGAGAUAUCAUGUCUUUGAGUUGUAUAAGUUGAAAAGUGGUAGUCAAGAUGGACAGAGGGCAAUUACGAAUAAUAGACAUCAUAUGGAAGUUUUGUUUACAAGUUGUAAUCCCGAAACAUAAGUGCUUGCAUUUGGAAUACAAGUUGUCAAGUUGAAAUAAUGAUCAAUAUCUUGUUCCUGUUUCUCUUUUGGAAUCUGUGCCUCUUCCGAAUCUCGAGGACGAGAUUCAUUUCAAGGGGGGGUAGAUUUGUAACACCCUAAAUUUUGUUCUUUUAGAAAUAGAUGAAAAAUAAUUUAAUUUUGAAUUUUUGUGCUCAUGAAACAUAAGAAAAGUAAUAUUUUUCAUUAAAAUAAAAAUUUAAUAUAAGGCUUAGCAACUAUUGUGUGUAAAUCAUGCUGGUGCAUUUUAUUUUUGAGAUGAGUGAUUUUGACCAAAGUUUGAAAUAUUUCAAACAGAUUUCUAAAUGGAUUUGAAAUAGGCUUUGGAAUAAAAGAAAUGGGAAAAAGAAAAUAAAAAGACAAAACCCCUCCUCUCCCUCUUCCUGGCCUGAUGGCCAAAUCCCCCGCGCAACGGCCCACAGUACCCCGCAGCCCAGCUCCCUCUUCCGGCCCAAGCCGCGGGCUGAAGCCCAGCAGCGCAGGCGCGCCCUCCCCUCUCCCUCUUCUCGCUGACACCUAGGCCCCACUUCUUUGUUUCACCGAUAGGUGGGUCCGCCUGGUCAUCCCCUCCACCGAGCGUCACCAGGCCGGACUCGACCGGGAGUUUCCCCGCCGAAUCGAUCCCCGGGGAAACCGCGAAUUCGUUUCCUUUUCCGCCAACCGAGGUCCUAUAAAGUGUUUUCUACAACUCCGCAGUUUCCUUUUGCUCCUAAACCGCGAAUCAAAGCUCUAGCCGCCACGAACGCGGAAGCUCGGAUCUCGCCGAAAACCGCGCGCGUCCUCCACCGCGGCGAGCACUCCCUCCUUCCCAUCAGCGCGAACCGAGCAUCUUGGUGAGUCCGCGGUGAGCUUCUCCUUCACCUGGCGUUUUCCUUUUGUUAAACGGUGCACCGGAACACUUUCCCAACCAACUCCGGCGAGGAGCAAGGCCCUCCGGCCAUGGCGCCACCGCCGGAGGCUCUGUAGCCGGCCAGCACCCCCUCUUCCCUCCUGGGAUUGAUCCAGAGCCGUUCGAUCUAAAACCAACGCGCCAGAUUAGAACUUACCCCUUCGGGGUGAUUUUAUUAAAGAGCCCCUGACGUUUUUAUAUAUGAAACCCGCGGUCCAAAACGUACAGCAUCAAAUACGCUUUCUGAGUUGGAAGACGUAAAGUCUGCCGGCUUGUUUCCAAAUUACGUUUUCAGUAUUUACAGUUUUGCCACCAGAUUUAAAUUGCUUAUAACAUGCUCAUCUUAAAUCCGUUUUGGUCCAUUCAAAUUGCGUUAGGUUCGUAAUUAUGAGCUUUACAUGUUAGUAACAUUAUUUUCUCAGUU